RNAcentral lists this ribosomal RNA (301 nucleotides) under uncultured bacterium. RNAcentral describes it as "partial 16S ribosomal RNA". It matches the Rfam family "Bacterial small subunit ribosomal RNA", at positions 509 to 807 of the family's 1533-position model. The record is from RNAcentral.
CAGCCGCCGCGGGAAUACGUAGGUGGCAAGCGUUGUCCGGAAUUAUUGGGCGUAAAGGGCUCGCAGGCGGUUUCUUAAGUCUGAUGUGAAAGCCCCCGGCUCAACCGGGGAGGGUCAUUGGAAGCUGGGAAACUUGAGUGCAGAAGAGGAGAGUGGAAUUCCACGUGUAGCGGUGAAAUGCGUAGAGAUGUGGAGGAACACCAGUGGCGAAGGCGACUCUCUGGUCUGUAACUGACGCUGAGGAGCGAAAGCGUGGGGAGCGAACAGGAUUAGAGACCCCCGUAGUCCCUGUCUCUUAUAC